This is a long non-coding RNA of Chionomys nivalis (European snow vole), 836 nucleotides long. RefSeq lists it as uncharacterized. The transcript is spliced from 4 exons. The record is from RefSeq and is a predicted model, not a curated record. NCBI's taxonomy places the organism in Eukaryota, Metazoa, Chordata, Mammalia, Rodentia, Cricetidae.
UGUGCCUUGGUGCUGGAGAGAUGCUUGAAUUAUAGGUACCCCUCCACCACCACCAAAAAAAGAAAAGCGGUUUCCUUGGCAACAAGAGAUAAGAGAAAGUGCUUGUAAAAUUCCAGCACCAGCUCAUUUUGAAGAAUGCAACGAAGCAGAUGGUUCGGAUCAUUCAGCAUGGACCAAGACCAAGAGUCUCUUCCAGUCCUUCAGUACCAAACUGGAACUGAUAAGACAUCUAGAUUUGUGGACUGAGCAAUCAAUCCAUUGAAUGAUGGCCCAGGAAGUUUGUUGUGGAAUUGUGUCUCCGUAUAAUAAUCAGAAGCUGCACCCAUAAAGUCUCACCAACAUGUCUGCCCACAUGUGAACUGAACAAAGACGACACCAAUGAACACGCCAAACUGGACAGAGAAGAGCUCACAAAGCCUCAACCCUCUUCAACUACAGGCAACAAAGGAAUGCUGCAGGUGCCGCAAUCUUAGAUGGAUGGCGAUGGAUCAAGAUAGAGACAGAGACCCAAUUUGGAGCAACGACUGAGCUCAUAAGGUCCAAAUGAGGAGCAGAAGGAGGGAGAACAUGAGCAAGGAAAUCAGGACCACGAGGGGUGCACCCACCCACUGUGACAGUGGAACUGAUCUAUUGGGAGCCCACCAAAGCCAGCUGGACUGUGACUGAAUAAGUAUGGGUUGAAACUGGACUCUCUGAACAUGGCAGACAAUGAAGGCUGAUGAGAAGCCAAGGACAAUGGCACUAGGUUUCGAUCCUAAUACAUGAACUGGCUUUGUGGGAGCUUAGCCUGUUUGGAUGCUCACUUUCCUGGAUCUAGAUAGAAGUGGGAGGACCUU